This 510-nucleotide ribosomal RNA is filed under the name Stictotarsus roffii. Its description in RNAcentral is "partial 16S ribosomal RNA". It matches the Rfam family "Bacterial large subunit ribosomal RNA", at positions 1829 to 2600 of the family's 2925-position model. The record is from RNAcentral. Lineage: Eukaryota; Metazoa; Arthropoda; Insecta; Coleoptera; Dytiscidae.
GUCCUCUAGGGAAAUAAUUUGAGGUCUAACCUGCCCACUGAAAAUUUUAAAUGGCCGCAGUAUUUUGACUGUGCAAAGGUAGCAUAAUCAUUAGUUUUUUAAUUAAAAGCUUGUAUGAAUGGUUGGACGAAAUAAAAACUGUCUCUAUAUAAUAAUUAGAAUUUAAUUUUUAAGUUAAAAAGCUUAAAUUUAAUUAAAAGACGAGAAGACCCUAUAGAUCUUGAUAAUAAAUUUUAUAGUUUUAUUAAGGAUUUAUUUAUUUAUUAUAAUUAUUAUUAUUUUAUUGGGGUAAUAAGAAGAUUAAUAAAAUUCUUUUUUGUGUUUACCAUAAAUUAAUGAUUAUUUGAUCCUUGUUAUUGAUUAAAAGAUUAAGUUACCUUAGGGAUAACAGCGUAAUUUUUUUAGAGAGUUCAUAUCGAUAAAAAAGUUUGCGACCUCGAUGUUGGAUUAAAAAUUAUUUUGGGUGUAGAAGUUCAAAUUUUUGGUCUGUUCGACCAUUAAAUUUUUACA